Molecule: long non-coding RNA, 823 nt
Organism: Helianthus annuus (common sunflower)
Lineage: Eukaryota; Viridiplantae; Streptophyta; Magnoliopsida; Asterales; Asteraceae
Exons: 3
Source: RefSeq, a predicted model, not a curated record
GUUGAAACCCUACUUUUCCAUCACAAUUCUGCCCCCAUUCGUAUUCUCGAGAAGAUCUUAAACACGUUUAUCACUCUGAAUUCUGCAAACUAUAUGUCAAUUAUUUUAUCCACUGAGCAGGAGUCUUUUGCAUUCUCAAAUUAAAGGUGUUUGUUUCUUUUCUCCUUCAUCUUGCUUAAUAAAGGUGUUUGUUUCCUUUCUCCUUCAUCUUGCUUAAUUUGAUGUCUUAUUUUAUUUAGAAGAGAAUGAAUCGCAAUAUCACUCACAUAAUAUUAGAUCGAUUAAAAAGGUAAUUCUUUGUUCCACAACCCUUAGCUCUGGUACUGCAAAUCUUUGUUAUUUGUUUGUAACUUACGCUUAUCAAAAGGAAAGCAUUUUGUUUGUUUUCGUAUUUUUAACAUAUUACAUCUUUUUAUACGGUUUUUUUACUAAUGCGUGAUUUAAUUUAUAUCAAGGUUUUGUUAUUUGUUUGUAACUUACACUUAUCAAAAGGAAAGCAUUUUGUUUGUUUUCGUAUUUUUAACAUAUUACAUCUUUUUAUACGGUUUUUUUACUAAUGCGUGAUUUAAUUUAUAUCAAGGUGUUCUUGAGUUCUUCUGAGGGUUCAUGUGGAAUCUGUAUUCAUGGGUCAUGGAGGCUACUGAUCAUGGUUAUGAAGGGGUAUCUUUUGGGAAGAAAUUGAAAGACAAACAAAUUGAAGAAUGGAAAGGGUGCUAGAAGACUUGGGCGUAUAUAUGUUCUCGAAGACUUCUUAAGAAUGCUCGAUAACCAGGUAAAAUAUACCAAAACUUAACCUUUAUAUUUAGAAAUACAAUUGAUUGUU